AGAGUUUGAUCAUGGCUCAGAAUGAACGCUGGCGGCGUGCUUAACACAUGCAAGUCGAACGGUAACAGAAGGAGCUUGCUCCUUGCUGACGAGUGGCGCACGGGUGAGUAAUAUAUAGAUAAUGUGCCUCGCAGACCGGGAUAGCCAUUGGAAACGAUGAUUAAUACUGGAUACUCCUUUUACUCAUAAGAGCAAUCGGGAAACGGAUUCUGCUGCGAGAUCGGUCUAUAUCCCAUCAGUUAGUUGGUAAGGUAACGGCUUACCAAGGCGAUGACGGGUAGCGGGUUUGAGAGGAUGAUCCGCCACACUGGUACUGAGACACGGACCAGACUCCUACGGGAGGCAGCAGUGAGGAAUAUUGCACAAUGGGGGCAACCCUGAUGCAGCAACGCCGCGUGGAGGAUGACGCAUUUCGGUGUGUAAACUCCUUUUAUAUGUCAAGAAAAUGACGGUAGCAUAUGAAUAAGCACCGGCUAACUCCGUGCCAGCAGCCGCGGUAAUACGGAGGGUGCAAGCGUUAUUCGGAAUCACUGGGCGUAAAGGACGCGUAGGCGGGUUGGUAAGUCAGAUGUGAAAUCCUACAGCUUAACUGUAGAACUGCAUUUGAAACUACUAACCUAGAGUAUGGGAGGGGCAGAUGGAAUUAG
This 647-nucleotide ribosomal RNA is filed under the name uncultured bacterium. RNAcentral's name for it is "bacterial SSU rRNA". It matches the Rfam family "Bacterial small subunit ribosomal RNA", at positions 8 to 670 of the family's 1533-position model. The record is from RNAcentral. RNAcentral also lists the same sequence under 1 other name.